GACAGAAGAACCUUUCAUUCUAUUCCGUGUUUCCUAUAUGUGGACCAGCUUCUUUGCUGUUUUAGCAACUGUCGUCAUUGGUAUGCUCGUCAGCUGCCUUACAGGAGAAAUGAGUAAUAAGGAUACACAGCUACACCUCUGCAAUGAUGGAGCAGUUCGAUUAUGGCGCUAUGCAAGAUUGCUAGAUAGCGAAGAAAAGGCUGAGGAAGGGAAGACUACGAUGCCUAAUGAACUAAAGCAUGACGUCACAACGGAAGAUGAGAACCUCCUUGCAAGGAAAGAUGAGACACGCAUUUGAUGAUUACUGCAAUGAACAUAAACAAGCUGUCUAAAUACAAUAAUAAAUUUAAAACA
Long non-coding RNA from Rhipicephalus sanguineus (brown dog tick), 354 nucleotides. RefSeq lists it as uncharacterized. The record is from RefSeq and is a predicted model, not a curated record. The transcript has 3 exons. Lineage: Eukaryota; Metazoa; Arthropoda; Arachnida; Ixodida; Ixodidae.